UAGCAUAUAUACCGAAGGAAAAGAAACUAACUAGGAUUCCCUCAGUAAGGGCGACUGAACCGGGAAAAGAUCAUCUUGUGAAUCUGUACAGGCUUGUCCUGUACCGAGUUGUGAUGUAAAGACGCAAAAUCAGUGGGGGUUCUGGACUAAGUCCCUUGGAAAAGGGCAGCAGAGAGGGUGAGACUCCCGUUCUUGUCUAGGACUUGUCACUAUGGUAUUUGUUGUCAACGAGUCGAGUUGCUUGGGAUUGCAGCUCAAAGUGGGAUGUAAAUUCAUUCUAAAUCUAAAUAUUGGUGGGAGACCGAUAGUGUACAAGUACCGUGAGGGAAAGAUGCAAAGAACUUUGAAAAGAGAGUUAAAGAGUACCUGAAAUUGCUGAAAGGGAAGCAAAGGAAACCAGUGCUUUGCCUACUAUUUUUCUCUUGCUGCUUGCAGCUAGGGCGCUGUGGUAGGUUUUAGGCCAGCAUGGGUUUGGCUUGAGACAAAUGGCUCUUCAGGAGGUAGGUCCCUCGGGACUGUUAGACUGUUGGGUUUUGUCUUUGGCUGGAUCGAGGCUAGUCACUAUGUGCAUGUGAUGCUGGCAAAAUGGUUUUCUUUACCCCGUCUUGAAACACGGACCAAGGAGUCUAACAUAUGUGCGAGUAUAGGAGUGGUAAACUCCCAUGCGCAAUGAAAGUAACAGUGGUAGGACCCUUUGGGGCACUAUCUGCCGGCCACAAUCCUUCGGGAGAAAGGUCUGAGUGUGAGCAUACAUGUUGGGACCCGAAAGAUGGUGAACUAUGCCUGAAUAGGGUGAAGCCAGGGGAAACUCUGGUGGAGGCUCGUAACGAUUCUGACGUGCAAAUCGUUCGU
RNAcentral lists this ribosomal RNA (852 nucleotides) under Chaetoceros peruvianus. RNAcentral describes it as "partial large subunit ribosomal RNA". It matches the Rfam family "Eukaryotic large subunit ribosomal RNA", at positions 36 to 905 of the family's 3401-position model. The record is from RNAcentral. Lineage: Eukaryota; Bacillariophyta; Thalassiosirophyceae; Chaetocerotales; Chaetocerotaceae.